RNAcentral lists this long non-coding RNA (687 nucleotides) under Ananas comosus (pineapple). RNAcentral's name for it is "long non-coding RNA (ACOM_LNC018207)". The record is from RNAcentral. Lineage: Eukaryota; Viridiplantae; Streptophyta; Magnoliopsida; Poales; Bromeliaceae.
GUUUGCCAUACUAUCGGUAGAGACCUCCGUGCUACCAAAUUGUUUUCAAUGAUGCGACUUUCAAAUCGACGAUUGACUCCUUUAAACUUGAUCAAUACUAUUGAAAGUAUUUGAAAAAUAAAUUUCAUAAUUUUUUAACAUUAUUUACCAAUCAAACGAGUAGUGUAAAAAUAAAUGAUUGAAAAUAAAAAUUUCAUAAAAAAUGAUGAUAAAAAACUUGAAUUUAAAAUCAGAGGUACUAAUCUUAUUCUAAAUAGUGAAAAAAAAAUUUCUUUAAAAAUUUCAUCGGAUUUGAAUUGUUUUAUACUGUUAAAUUCAUAAACGUAUCGCAUCGAUCAUUAAAAUUAUCAAUUUUGACACAUUUUGAUCACUAGCGAAAAAUGUAAAAAAAUUAUAAAAUUUAGUUUUCAAAUACUUUCAGUAGUGUAAAUCAAAUCUAAUGGAGUUGAUCAUUGAUUUAGAAGCUGGAUCACUGAAAACAAUUUUAUUGUACGGAAGCCUCUGUGCUACCGAUAGUAUAGGAGCCUAGCUCAAUUAAUAUUUAGCAAACGGUUCUCACAUCUGUGAUGCAUAAAAGUGCAGCANCUAGAAAUAAACGGCUGAAAAUAAAAAUUUCAUAAAAAAUGAUGAUAAAAUAUGUGAAUUUAAGAUCAGAGAUCUUACUCUAAAUAAUGAAAAAUAAUAAUA